CCUACGGGUGGCAGCAGUGAGGAAUAUUGGUCAAUGGGCGCGAGCCUGAACCAGCCAAGUCGCGUGAGGGAAGACGGUCCUAUGGAUUGUAAACCUCUUUUGUCGGGGAGCAAAAGACGCCACGCGUGGCGUUCCGAGAGUACCCGAAGAAAAAGCAUCGGCUAACUCCGUGCCAGCAGCCGCGGUAAUACGGAGGAUGCGAGGGUUAUCCGGAUUUAUGGGGUUAAAAGGGGGCGCAGGCGGAAGUGCAAGUCAGCGGUAAAGUUGAGAUGCUCAACCUCUUAGAGCCGUUGAAACUGGUUUUCUGGAGUGAGCGAGAAGUAUGCGGAAUGCGUGGUGUAGCGGUGAAAUGCAUAGAUAUCACGCAGAACUCCAGUUGCGAAGGCAGCAUACCGGCGCUCAACUGACGCUCAUGCACGAAAGUGUGGGUAUCGAACAGGAUUAGAUACCCCUGUAGUC
This 459-nucleotide ribosomal RNA is filed under the name uncultured bacterium. RNAcentral describes it as "partial 16S ribosomal RNA". It matches the Rfam family "Bacterial small subunit ribosomal RNA", at positions 338 to 795 of the family's 1533-position model. The record is from RNAcentral.